CCUACGGGGUGCUGCAGUGGGGAAUAUUGGACAAUAGGCGAAAGCCUGAUCCAGCCAUGCCGCGUGUGUGAAGAAGGCCUUCGGGUUGUAAAGCACUUUCAGUGGGGAAGAAAGCCUUGGGGCUAAUACCCUCGAGGAAGGACAUCACCCACAGAAGAAGCACCGGCUAACUCCGUGCCAGCAGCCGCGGUAAUACGGAGGGUGCGAGCGUUAAUCGGAAUUACUGGGCGUAAAGCGCGCGUAGGCGGUCUGAUAAGCCGGUUGUGAAAGCCCCGGGCUCAACCUGGGAACGGCAUCCGGAACUGUCAGGCUAGAGUGCAGGAGAGGAAGGUAGAAUUCCCGGUGUAGCGGUGAAAUGCGUAGAGAUCGGGAGGAAUACCAGUGGCGAAGGCGGCCUUCUGGACUGACACUGACGCUGAGGUGCGAAAGCGUGGGUAGCAAACAGGAUUAGAUACCCCAGUAGUC
RNAcentral lists this ribosomal RNA (465 nucleotides) under Vreelandella stevensii. RNAcentral describes it as "partial 16S ribosomal RNA". It matches the Rfam family "Bacterial small subunit ribosomal RNA", at positions 338 to 795 of the family's 1533-position model. Lineage: Bacteria; Pseudomonadati; Pseudomonadota; Gammaproteobacteria; Oceanospirillales; Halomonadaceae. The record is from RNAcentral.